GAUGAACGCUGGCGGCGUGCCUAAUACAUGCAAGUCGAGCGAACAGAUGAGGAGCUUGCUCCUCUGACGUUAGCGGCGGACGGGUGAGUAACACGUGGAUAACCUACCUAUAAGACUGGGAUAACUUCGGGAAACCGGAGCUAAUACCGGAUAAUAUAUUGAACCGCAUGGUUCAAUAGUGAAAGACGGUUUUGCUUUCACUUAUAGAUGGAUCCUCGCCGCAUUAGCUAGUUGGUAAGGUAACGGCUUACCAAGGCAACGAUGCGUAGCCGACCUGAGAGGGUGAUCGGCCACACUGGAACUGAGACACGGUCCAGACUCCUACGGGAGGCAGCAGUAGGGAAUCUUCCGCAAUGGGCGAAAGCCUGACGGAGCAACGCCGCGUGAGUGAUGAAGGUCUUCGGAUCGUAAAACUCUGUUAUUAGGGAAGAACAAAUGUGUAAGUAACUAUGCACGUCUUGACGGUACCUAAUCAGAAAGCCACGGCUAACUACGUG
RNAcentral lists this ribosomal RNA (497 nucleotides) under uncultured bacterium. RNAcentral's name for it is "partial 16S ribosomal RNA". It matches the Rfam family "Bacterial small subunit ribosomal RNA", at positions 28 to 507 of the family's 1533-position model. The record is from RNAcentral.